This 656-nucleotide ribosomal RNA is filed under the name Manuelcypris tabascena. RNAcentral's name for it is "eukaryotic LSU rRNA". It matches the Rfam family "Eukaryotic large subunit ribosomal RNA", at positions 1329 to 1887 of the family's 3401-position model. Lineage: Eukaryota; Metazoa; Arthropoda; Ostracoda; Podocopida; Cyprididae. The record is from RNAcentral.
UUUAGCGUUUUGCCUAUACUCAACCGCUGAAACAGAGCUGGCGCUUUCAGAGUGCGGAGCCCUUACGUUUCAGUGAGUAGGGAGGUGUAGUGGUGUGCGUUGAAGGGUCUGGGCGUGAGCCUGCCUGGAGCCGCCACUGGCACAGAUCUUGGUGGUAGUAGCAAAUACUCAAGUGAGACCCUUGAGGGCUGACGUGGAGAAGGGUUCCAUGUGAACAGCACUUGCACAUGGGUGAGUCGAUCCUAAGCCUAAGGCGAAAGCUGAUCCUACACACUUGGGCCACACGCUUGGUUGCACUUGUUGUUUCCAGCAGUGAGCGCCCGUAGGAGUUUGGCGAAAGGGAAUCCGGUACUUAUUCCGGAACCUGGAUGUGGGGAGUAGUGGCGCCUCGUGCGUCACCUAGCCGCAAGGCGAUUACCAUCCUGGAGAUGUCCAACUGGAGGGCCGGGAAGAGUUGUCUUUUCUGGUUAAGGGGCCGAGGGCCUUGUGAAUCGGGUCGGUCGGAGAGAGGGUCUUGGCCCCGAAGAGCGCCGCGGUUCUUGCGGCGUCCGCGCUCCUCUAGUCUGGAACUUGAAAAUCCAGGGGGAAGAAUGCGUACCUUCACACCAGUUCGUACCCAUAUCCGCAUCUGGUCUCCGAGGUGAACAGCCUCUAGU